CCAGACUCCUACGGGAGGCAGCAGUGGGGAAUAUUGCACAAUGGGCGAAAGCCUGAUGCAGCAACGCCGCGUGAAGGAAGAAGGCCUUCGGGUCGUAAGCUUCUGUCCUUGGGGAAGAAGAACUGACGGUACCCAAGGAGGAAGCCCCGGCUAACUACGUGCCAGCAGCCGCGGUAAUACGUAGGUGGCAAGCGUUGUCCGGAUUUACUGGGUGUAAAGGGCGUGCAGCCGGGAAGACAAGUCAGAUGUGAAAUCCCGCGGCUCAACCGCGGAACUGCAUUUGAAACUGUUUUUCUUGAGUAUCGGAGAGGUAAUCGGAAUUCCUAGUGUAGCGGUGAAAUGCGUAGAUAUUAGGAAGAACACCAGUGGCGAAGGCGGAUUACUGGACGACAACUGACGGUGAGGCGCGAAAGCGUGGGGAGCAAACAGGAUUAGAUACCCGUGUA
RNAcentral lists this ribosomal RNA (446 nucleotides) under uncultured bacterium. RNAcentral's name for it is "bacterial SSU rRNA". It matches the Rfam family "Bacterial small subunit ribosomal RNA", at positions 331 to 792 of the family's 1533-position model. The record is from RNAcentral.